This 67-nucleotide transfer RNA is filed under the name Coleoptera sp. 2 AH-2016. Its description in RNAcentral is "tRNA-Ser". Lineage: Eukaryota; Metazoa; Arthropoda; Insecta; Coleoptera. The record is from RNAcentral.
AGUUAAUGAACUUGUAUAAGUAUAUAUUUUGAAAGUAUAAAAAAGGUUUAUAACAGCCUAUUAGCUU